CAGUUUUCAAGGCUCUCGCGAUAGUGGCCAUGCUUUCUUCAAGGGUUCCAGCAUUUCUCUUCGCGUUAGUGCUUAUUAUGGCAAUAACCGAGGUUCCAGCGAGGUUAGCUAAAUUUGCAGUACCAAAUCGGUGCACGAAUACACCGUGUUCUCCUGGUUGCCCUCCAUAUUGCAAGUGCGGAGGAGCUAAGACAAACAACUACUGCGCUGAACUGUAGCAGUGAAUAAAACGGUGCUUGAUUCAUCGUCCACCGGAAUAAACUAAAAAAAAGCUCAAGCAAAACGUGUCCCCAUGUUAUAUUCAGCGUGUUAGAAGUUAAGAAACACACAUAGCAUGGUGUGCAUUGCUAUAUGUAUAUAGCUGUCAUAGCCCUCUUUCGCAUGGA
Molecule: long non-coding RNA, 386 nt
Organism: Rhipicephalus sanguineus (brown dog tick)
Lineage: Eukaryota; Metazoa; Arthropoda; Arachnida; Ixodida; Ixodidae
Exons: 3
Source: RefSeq, a predicted model, not a curated record